Molecule: long non-coding RNA, 2198 nt
Organism: Sapajus apella (tufted capuchin)
Lineage: Eukaryota; Metazoa; Chordata; Mammalia; Primates; Cebidae
Exons: 2
Source: RefSeq, a predicted model, not a curated record
AUGGAAUAUUAUUCAUCCAUAAAAGAAGGAAAUCCUGUCAUUUGCAACAACAUGAGUGAACCUGGAAUACAUUAUGCUAAGUGAAAUAAGCUGAACACAGAAAGACAAAUACUUUAUGGUCUCACUUUUUAUGUGAAGUCUAAAAAAGUGAGACUCAUCAAAACAGUAGUAUGAUGGUUGCCAAGGUCUGAGGGGUAAGGGAAAUGGGGAGAUACUGAGCAAGGGUACAAACUUUCAAUUAUAAGAUGAACAAGUUCUUAGGAUCUUAUAUACAGCAAGGGUGGUGAUGGGUGUGAUAAUUUAAUUGUGAAUAUACACAGUGUAUACAUAUAACAAAUUUUGUUGUAUACCUUGAUCUAUAAAAUCUUUACUUUUCAAUUAAAUGUUUUAAAAAGGGAAUACAUUUCUUGUUUUGAAAAUGCUUAAUGUGUCUUUUCUUACAUUAAUGUAAUUUAGAUGAAGAAAAACAGAUUUGAAGAAGCCUGAGCCAAAGGAAUCAUGACUCCCAAACCCAGAGUCUCAUAUACAAUUGUAGGUGCUACAUUAAGAGAAACAGGACAGGUAUCUAGAAAGUAUCUGUUCUUUUUUUUUUUUUUUCCUUACUCUUCUCUCUCUCUCCUACAUCAGCCACACAUAAAGGUGUAAGGUUGUUUUCAUAUCAUACCUGCAACUAAACUCAUUCAGGACUCCAGAAGUUUGUAAAUGGGAAACCACUUGUAGUUUAACAUAUCCUAAUCUAGUAUUAGGAUCAUGCUACCAUUGUUGUCAAACUUUCUCAAACUUGUAAUUUGUUUUGGCAUCAUUAUAAUGAAUAAUCAAUUGUAUGAGAUAAAAUAGUAAAUGUUCUAGUAAAAUGCAUUUUAAAAAUGUUUGGUUCCUUAUAAGACUCAGACCUUAUAAUGACCAUUUUCUCAUUUCAUCAAAGAAAUACACUGAGACCUUAGUAACCUUCCUUCUGUUUAGUUAUGACUCCGGGCAUUGAACUAGAUGCGUUGCAGUCAGUCUUACCAUGACUAGAAUCAUUUAUAGUCUCUCAUGUUCUUUUAUUUAAAAUUAAAGUAUGUGAAUCUUUUAAAAAGCAAUAUUUUAAAAAUAGUUGAAAUACAGCCAAAUGUUUAUAACAAUAAAUGCUUUUUUAAUUGCAUCUGUUCUCAAAAAUACAUUUAUUUCCCUGUGGUCAGCAAAGGUAAAAUAGAAUAUAAAUCAAAGCUUAUCAUAUUUUCUCUCUUCUAAUUCUAUAGAUGUUUAUGGACUUUACCUAGCAGCUUAUCUGCACAUAUCACCAGAUAUCCCACAUAUUUUGUUAGGCAAUUUUAAGAGCUGAUGGUUACAACCUUUUAAGAAGACACCAAUACCAGAAUGGUUUUCAAACUCAAGUAAAGAGCGGAUUUCUGGAAUACUAAUGUAAGGACUUCAGAAAAUCUUCUUCUCUAUAAAAGCAAUAUCUGACAACAAUUGUCAAAAACAAGUUUUUCAGAUUUCUAAAAAUAGCCCAAAGCUUCCAGCAACCCAAGGAGCAUUUAUUCAAUAAAACAGCUGAUUUUGGGUUAAAAAAAAGUUAGCUUUGUUGUACUUUAACUUGCCCUAAUCCAAUCAACGUUUCAUCAGAUCCACAAUAUCCCCAGAAAUUAGUAACCUUGCAUCCAUGGUAGCUGUGAAAACUUGCAGCCCCUGGAGAGGUGCAAGCUCCUCAAAUAUCCCCAGAUAGUUGUCUCUAUUUGACCUGUCUUGCAGCUCUUUGGGAAGGCCGUAUUCAUGAGGCUUGUCUUUAUUUGAUCUGACUCAGUGGAAAAGUCCUAUCCACAGGACAUUUGUUGAAAACAAGCAGCAGCAAUUGUUUAAUACUGUAUCUGCCUGAGCUGGCUGAAUUUUAGACCCUGUGGAAGCAAGAAGUGAAGCUAAGGCAGAAUUGUAAACUGUAAGAGCAUUGAAGGCAUACCCAACACAGGGCCCUUUGGCAAAGGAUGAAAGAUCUCUUGGUUCAAAAGAUUUUAGAAAAUAUGCCAGUCAUUAGCUCAUCACUAAGUAGUUAAACAGAUACUUCAGUGGACACACAUGACAAGGAAUAUAGGCUUUACAGAACUAGUCCAGGAAAGUCACUAAACAAACAGUAACAACAAACUUUGAGGGUGAAGAGAUCUGAUUUCCAAACUUUCUACCUUAUAUUGUUUAAAAUGUCUAGUUUUUAACAAAAAAAA